UUUAAUUUAAAAAUGAAAUUUAAUAAUAAUAAGAAGGGAAAAUAUAUAACACAUCUUCCAAAUUACGAUGUCACAUGUUGUUGUGCGUGGCUGAGGGAGAGUAUGGAGACGAGAGAGAAACAAAUUGGAUAAGUGAGGAAGGUGAAUUAGAGAAAAUGUUGGAGUUUGUUUUUUUUCAAUUGGGGAUGACAGAGAAAAUGUUGGAGUGAGAGAGAUGAAAGAGAAAGGGAUGAGAGAAAUGAAGGAGGUGAGUAAGGGUUUGGGGGUUUCUUUUUUUUUAGUUUUGAGAAUGAAAAUUAUUUAAAUGUUCUUAACCUUAAAACUUAGAAUCCAUGAUAAAUUAGGGUAUUUUUGUCUACUAUAAUCCGGUACACAUUAUUAUUAAAACGUAUCAACUGAAU
Molecule: long non-coding RNA, 401 nt
Filed under: Vigna radiata
Lineage: Eukaryota; Viridiplantae; Streptophyta; Magnoliopsida; Fabales; Fabaceae
Description: long non-coding RNA (VRAD_LNC009065)
Source: RNAcentral